AGCGAACGCUGGCGGCAGGUCUAACACAUGCAAGUCGAACGAACUCUUCGGAGUUAGUGGCGGACGGGUGAGUAACACGUGGGAACGUGCCUUUAGGUUCGGAAUAACUCAGGGAAACUUGUGCUAAUACCGAAUGUGCCCCCCGAUUCAUUUUGGGGUGGGAAAGAUUUAUCGCCUUUAGAGCGGCCCGCGUCUGAUUAGCUAGUUGGUGAGGUAAAGGCUCACCAAGGCGACGAUCAGUAGCUGGUCUGAGAGGAUGAUCAGCCACAUUGGGACUGAGACACGGCCCAAACUCCUACGGGAGGCAGCAGUGGGGAAUCUUGCGCAAUGGGCGAAAGCCUGACGCAGCCAUGCCGCGUGAAUGAUGAAGGUCUUAGGAUUGUAAAGCUCUUUUACCAGGGAUGAUAAUGACAGUACCUGGAGAAUAAGCUCCGGCUAACUCCGUGCCAGCAGCCGCGGUAAUACGGAGGGAGCUAGCGUUGUUCGGAAUUACUGGGCGUAAAGCGCACGUAGGCGGUUAUUCAAGUCAGAGGUGAAAGCCCGGGGCUCAAUCCCGGAACAGCCUUUGAAACUAGAUAACUAGAAUUCUGGAGAGGUCAGUGGAAUUCCGAGUGUAGAGGUGAAAUUCGUAGAUAUUCGGAAGAACACCAGUGGCGAAGGCGACUGACUGGACAGAUAUUGACGCUGAGGUGCGAAAGCGUGGGGAGCAAACAGG
Molecule: ribosomal RNA, 715 nt
Filed under: uncultured Caulobacteraceae bacterium
Lineage: Bacteria; Pseudomonadati; Pseudomonadota; Alphaproteobacteria; Caulobacterales; Caulobacteraceae
Description: bacterial SSU rRNA
Rfam family: Bacterial small subunit ribosomal RNA
Source: RNAcentral